GGGUCGUCUAGCGGUAGGACGCCUGCCUUUGGAGCAGGAAAUCGAUGGUUCGAAUCCAU
RNAcentral lists this transfer RNA (59 nucleotides) under Candidatus Berkelbacteria bacterium CG10_big_fil_rev_8_21_14_0_10_43_14. RNAcentral's name for it is "tRNA-Gln". It matches the Rfam family "tRNA", at positions 10 to 62 of the family's 71-position model. Rfam says of the family: Transfer RNA (tRNA) molecules are approximately 80 nucleotides in length. Their secondary structure includes four short double-helical elements and three loops (D, anti-codon, and T loops). The record is from RNAcentral. Lineage: Bacteria; Candidatus Berkelbacteria.